AAAUUGAAGAGUUUGAUCAUGGCUCAGAUUGAACGCUGGCGGCAGGCCUAACACAUGCAAGUCGAACGGUAACAGGAAGAAGCUUGCUUCUUUGC
This 95-nucleotide ribosomal RNA is filed under the name Escherichia coli. RNAcentral describes it as "partial 16S ribosomal RNA". It matches the Rfam family "Bacterial small subunit ribosomal RNA", at positions 1 to 92 of the family's 1533-position model. RNAcentral also lists the same sequence under 1 other name. The record is from RNAcentral. Lineage: Bacteria; Pseudomonadati; Pseudomonadota; Gammaproteobacteria; Enterobacterales; Enterobacteriaceae.